RNAcentral lists this ribosomal RNA (301 nucleotides) under uncultured bacterium. RNAcentral's name for it is "partial 16S ribosomal RNA". It matches the Rfam family "Bacterial small subunit ribosomal RNA", at positions 509 to 807 of the family's 1533-position model. The record is from RNAcentral.
CAGUAGCCGCGGUAAUACGAAGGGGGCUAGCGUUGUUCGGAAUUACUGGGCGUAAAGCGCACGUAGGCGGACAUUUAAGUCAGGGGUGAAAUCCCGGGGCUCAACCCCGGAACUGCCUUUGAUACUGGGUGUCUAGAGUAUGGAAGAGGUGAGUGGAAUUCCGAGUGUAGAGGUGAAAUUCGUAGAUAUUCGGAGGAACACCAGUGGCGAAGGCGGCUCACUGGUCCAUUACUGACGCUGAGGUGCGAAAGCGUGGGGAGCAAACAGGAUUAGAUACCCGAGUAGUCCCUGUCUCUUAUAC